Molecule: long non-coding RNA, 1077 nt
Filed under: Brassica napus (rape)
Lineage: Eukaryota; Viridiplantae; Streptophyta; Magnoliopsida; Brassicales; Brassicaceae
Description: long non-coding RNA (BNAP_LNC008721)
Source: RNAcentral
AGUGUGAAAUAUUUUUAAUUAUUGUAGUAAAUAUCAUUUAAUUUAACAUGAAAAUAUCAUUAAAGUUAUACAAAAUCUCUUUAUUUUUGUUAUACUUCUAGACUGUAUAGUAACACUUAUAACUACGAGAAAACAGCACUGCCGAUGUAGCAAAGGCAACAUCAGCAUUGUGAUAUGUUGAAGUCAACAAGCAGAGCCAUUGAGGAAGGAACGUGAAGUCGGAGACCACCCAAGCUAAACAUCCGCCUCACUAUUUGCACUUUCUGAGAACCGGAACAUUGCUAGCUUCACACCGUCAAACUGUCACAUCAAUGAAAUAGAUACAACCACCACAUGGAAACACAUGAGUAAACGCCAAAGAAACUUUCUGGCAGCUUCAGAGGCGGACUAAAAAAAUGCCGGAUAAAGACACUGCAGAUGAGAGAGAGAGAUCUGGAACCACAACGACGUGGCCAUAGACUACCAAAUCGGGAUGUAGACCAUUGAACCUGCACAAGCCGACACUAGAAGCUCUAGCACGCACCAGAAAAGCCGCUAGGAGAGACACGUCUCCGAGAAUAGGGUAAUCCAGAGCUCACAUGAUGCCGAGACGAAGGAUAUGGCCAACCAAGAUGUCGAGGAAAGCCACCAAAUUGAAACCUUGACACCGCACCUUCAAAGCAGACCACGACAUGAAGAUUUAGAAGAUUGAAGCCUGGAUCUGAAGGAGGAGCUGCCUCAACCCCCACACGCGCCACUGUCUCGUGAAAGUGAGUCUGAAAAGAGAAAAAAUUGAACCCACUCAAAACCCAGAAAAGCCGCCUCUGAUCCGCGCCACUUUCCAACCUCGUAGUCACACCAGAGAGUCAAACAACCAUCAAGUCCGGCUGUGAAUCUGUCAUCAAGGGAGCUCUUUCUCGAGAGUAACCCACAUAUCAUCGGGAGAGGAGAGAGUAGACAAAGGAGCAAAGGGGAGGAGAAAGCCAUCCGGCGGCGGCAAAACAGCCAUGCAGCGGAGGCAAGCUCGGGUUCAACGAGAGGAAAAUAGUGAGAGAAACGAGUAGAGAGAGAAAGCCUCAUAAGUUAUCUAUUUCAAGC